Molecule: ribosomal RNA, 253 nt
Filed under: uncultured bacterium
Lineage: Bacteria
Description: partial 16S ribosomal RNA
Rfam family: Bacterial small subunit ribosomal RNA
Source: RNAcentral
UACAGAGGGGGCAAGCGUUAUUCGGAAUUAUUGGGCGUAAAGGGCGCGUAGGCGGCUUUGCAAGUGACGGGUGAAAGCCCUCGGCUUAACCGAGGAACUGCCUGUCAGACUGUAAGGCUUGAGACCGGGAGAGGUGAGUGGAAUUCCGAGUGUAGAGGUGAAAUUCGUAGAUAUUAGGAAGAACACCGGUGGCGAAGGCGGCCCACUGGUCCGGUACUGACGCUGAGGUGCGAAAGCGUGGGGAGCAAACAGG